This 662-nucleotide ribosomal RNA is filed under the name Salmonella bongori serovar 44:r:-. Its description in RNAcentral is "partial 23S ribosomal RNA". It matches the Rfam family "Bacterial large subunit ribosomal RNA", at positions 711 to 1369 of the family's 2925-position model. Lineage: Bacteria; Pseudomonadati; Pseudomonadota; Gammaproteobacteria; Enterobacterales; Enterobacteriaceae. The record is from RNAcentral.
AGACCCGAAACCCGGUGAUCUAGCCAUGGGCAGGUUGAAGGUUGGGUAACACUAACUGGAGGACCGAACCGACUAAUGUUGAAAAAUUAGCGGAUGACCUGUGGCUGGGGGUGAAAGGCCAAUCAAACCGGGAGAUAGCUGGUUCUCCCCGAAAGCUAUUUAGGUAGCGCCUCGUGAAGUCAUCUCCGGGGGUAGAGCACUGUUUCGGCUAGGGGGCCAUCCCGGCUUACCAACCCGAUGCAAACUGCGAAUACCGGAGAAUGUUAUCACGGGAGACACACGGCGGGUGCUAACGUCCGUCGUGAAGAGGGAAACAACCCAGACCGCCAGCUAAGGUCCCAAAGUCAUGGUUAAGUGGGAAACGAUGUGGGAAGGCCCAGACAGCCAGGAUGUUGGCUUAGAAGCAGCCAUCAUUUAAAGAAAGCGUAAUAGCUCACUGGUCGAGUCGGCCUGCGCGGAAGAUGUAACGGGGCUAAACCAUGCACCGAAGCUGCGGCAGCGACACUUAAGUGUUGUUGGGUAGGGGAGCGUUCUGUAAGCCGUUGAAGGUGGCCUGUGAGGGUUGCUGGAGGUAUCAGAAGUGCGAAUGCUGACAUAAGUAACGAUAAAGCGGGUGAAAAGCCCGCUCGCCGGAAGACCAAGGGUUCCUGUCCAACGUUAAU